RNAcentral lists this ribosomal RNA (517 nucleotides) under uncultured Delftia sp. RNAcentral's name for it is "bacterial SSU rRNA". It matches the Rfam family "Bacterial small subunit ribosomal RNA", at positions 394 to 904 of the family's 1533-position model. Lineage: Bacteria; Pseudomonadati; Pseudomonadota; Betaproteobacteria; Burkholderiales; Comamonadaceae. The record is from RNAcentral.
AUGCCGCGUGCAGGAUGAAGGCCUUCGGGUUGUAAACUGCUUUUGUACGGAACGAAAAAGCUCCUUCUAAUACAGGGGGCCCAUGACGGUACCGUAAGAAUAAGCACCGGCUAACUACGUGCCAGCAGCCGCGGUAAUACGUAGGGUGCGAGCGUUAAUCGGAAUUACUGGGCGUAAAGCGUGCGCAGGCGGUUAUGUAAGACAGAUGUGAAAUCCCCGGGCUCAACCUGGGAACUGCAUUUGUGACUGCAUGGCUAGAGUACGGUAGAGGGGGAUGGAAUUCCGCGUGUAGCAGUGAAAUGCGUAGAUAUGCGGAGGAACACCGAUGGCGAAGGCAAUCCCCUGGACCUGUACUGACGCUCAUGCACGAAAGCGUGGGGAGCAAACAGGAUUAGAUACCCUGGUAGUCCACGCCCUAAACGAUGUCAACUGGUUGUUGGGAAUUAGUUUUCUCAGUAACGAAGCUAACGCGUGAAGUUGACCGCCUGGGGAGUACGGCCGCAAGGUUGAAACUCAA